Non-coding RNA from Microcebus murinus (gray mouse lemur), 450 nucleotides. Lineage: Eukaryota; Metazoa; Chordata; Mammalia; Primates; Cheirogaleidae. The record is from RefSeq and is a predicted model, not a curated record.
GGCUGCACCGGCGGCGGCGGCACCACACAAACAAGGACGCUGAUUGGGCAGCUGCCAAGCGCCUCGGCUCCGCCUUACCCACACGCCACGACGCCCAUUGGGCGGCCUAAGCCGGCCACCCCGCCCUCUUCUUCUCGGCCAUACCAAUAGAAGACAGGAUGCCGGGACUUCACCCCACCUUUGAAGAUUCAAUGCAUUCUAUGCUGUCUGAAAGUCCAUCCUUCAAGGGCUUUGAGGAAACAUGAAAACCAUGGUAGAGGAAGAUACCAACAAGGUCUGAGAAAAAAACCUUUCAACAAAAUCAAAAUCAGGCCAUGGAGGGGGACUUUCAAUCUGGAGUGCUCAAGCUUUAAGGAAGACAGCCUGUCUCACCAGUCCUACCCACCUGUCUGGGAGCUGCCUGCCUCCUGAUGUGCUGAUACCUCCUCCUGCUGCUGCCGCUGCUGCUGC